Molecule: long non-coding RNA, 1118 nt
Filed under: Salmo salar (Atlantic salmon)
Lineage: Eukaryota; Metazoa; Chordata; Actinopteri; Salmoniformes; Salmonidae
Description: lncRNA (ENSSSAG00000104532.1)
Source: RNAcentral
GUAGGGUGUGGCAGGGGCAGAUGUAACACGAGUAGAGUUAGAGGGAGUUUAGAACUGUAGAGGGAGUUUAGAACUGUAGAGGGAGUUUAGAACUGUAGAGGGAGUUUAGAACUGUAGAGGGAGUUUAGAACUGUAGAGGGAGUUUAGAACUGUCCAGGGAGUUUAGAACUGUACAGGGAGUUUAGAACUGUAGAGGGAGUUUAGAACUGUAGAGGGAGUUUAGAACUGUAGAGGGAGUUUAGAACUGUCCAGGGAGUUUAGAACUGUCCAGGGAGUUUAGAACUGUCGAGGGAGUUUAGAACUGUCCAGGGAGUUUAGAACUGUAGAGGGAGUUUAGAACUGUAGAGGGAGUUUAGAACUGUAGAGGGAGUUUAGAACUGUAGAGGGAGUUUAGAACUGUACAGGGAGUUUAGAACUGUCCAGGGAGUUUAGAACUGUAGAGGGAGUUUAGAACUGUAGAGGGAGUUUAGAACUGUAGAGGGAGUUUAGAACUGUAGAGGGAGUUUAGAACUGUAGAGGGAGUUUAGAACUGUACAGGGAGUUUAGAACUGUACAGGGAGUUUAGAACUGUACAGGGAGUUUAGAACUGUCGAGGGAGUUUAGAACUGUCGAGGUAGAGGGAGUUUAGAACUGUCGAGGUAGAGGGAGUUUAGAACUGUCGAGGUAGAGGGAGUUUAGAACUGUCGAGGUAGAGGGAGUUUAGAACUGUCGAGGGAGUUUAGAACUGUCGAGGGAGUUUAGAACUGUCGAGGGAGUUUAGAACUGUCGAGGGAGUUUAGAACUGUCGAGGGAGUUUAGAACUGUCGAGGGAGUUUAGAACUGUCGAGGGAGUUUAGAACUGUCGAGGGAGUUUAGAACUGUCCAGGGAGUUUAGAACUGUCGAGGUAGAGGGAGUUUAGAACUGUCGAGGUAGAGGGAGUUUAGAACUGUCGAGGGAGUUUAGAACUGUCGAGGUAGAGGGAGUUUAAAAUAAAUAAAUGUGCCGAAUACAACAGGUGUAGACCUUACCGUGAAAUGUUGACUUACAAGCCCUUAACCAACAAUGCAGUUCAUAAAUAGUCCGGGUAGCCAUUUGAUUCAUUGUUAGGUAGUCUUAUGGCUUGGAGGUAGAAGCUGUU